UCUGUAGGCGGUGCGGCAAGUCGGGAGUGAAAUCCCUGGGCUUAACUCAGGGGCUGCUUCCGAAACUGCCGUGCUGGAGUGCGGGAGAGGUGAGUGGAAUUGCAGGUGUAGCGGUGAAAUGCGUAGAUAUCUGCAGGAACACCAGAGGCGAAGGCGGCUCACUGGACCGCAACUGACGCUGAGAGACGAAAGCUAGGGGAGCAAACAGGAUUAGAUACCCUGGUAGUCCUAGCCCUAAACGAUCAGGACUUGGCGUGGGCCCCGUACGGGGCUCGUGUCGGAGCUAACGUGUUAAGUCCUGCGCCUGGGGAGUACGGUCGCAAGGCUGAA
Molecule: ribosomal RNA, 330 nt
Filed under: uncultured bacterium
Lineage: Bacteria
Description: bacterial SSU rRNA
Rfam family: Bacterial small subunit ribosomal RNA
Source: RNAcentral